This 460-nucleotide ribosomal RNA is filed under the name uncultured bacterium. Its description in RNAcentral is "partial 16S ribosomal RNA". It matches the Rfam family "Bacterial small subunit ribosomal RNA", at positions 338 to 795 of the family's 1533-position model. The record is from RNAcentral.
CCUACGGGAGGCUGCAGUGAGGAAUAUUGGUCAAUGGCCGUAAGGCUGAACCAGCCAAGUAGCGUGAGGGAAGACUGCCCUAUGGGUUGUAAACCUCUUUUAUGCGGGGAUAAAGGUGUCCACGUGUGGCUGUUUGCAGGUACCGCAUGAAUAAGGACCGGCUAAUUCCGUGCCAGCAGCCGCGGUAAUACGGAAGGUCCGGGCGUUAUCCGGAUUUAUUGGGUUUAAAGGGAGCGUAGAUGGGUUGUUAAGUCAGUUGUGAAAGUUUGUGGCUCAACCGUAAAAUUGCAAUUGAUACUGGCAGUAUUGAGGACAGUGGAGGUAGGCGGAAUUCGUGGGGUAGCGGUGAAAUGCUGAGAUAUCACGAAGAACCCCGAUUGCGAAGGCAGCUUACUAAACUGCCACUGACAUUGAUGCUCGAAAGUGUGGGUAUCAAACAGGAUUAGAGACCCUUGUAGUC